This 1231-nucleotide long non-coding RNA is filed under the name Ictidomys tridecemlineatus (thirteen-lined ground squirrel). RNAcentral describes it as "lncRNA (ENSSTOG00000031322.1)". Lineage: Eukaryota; Metazoa; Chordata; Mammalia; Rodentia; Sciuridae. The record is from RNAcentral.
AAUACAAUAGCUGCAGCUCAGCCUAAAGGAGGAAGCUCCUAGAAAGUUAAUCAAGCCUCCCAAUGAACUACAAUAGCUUUCAAGAUUCUCUUUCAGUGCAGCAGUCCACAGCCCCGCUCCAUGCCCUGUGAGGCACAAUCUGGAAGAUAAGUCAGGAGCUGUUGCUUUCCUACCAAUCUUCAGAGCUUUCUGGUGGCGUGAUGCCCCAGAAGUGUGUGAAAACCUCCCCCAGGUCACACUGCAACUCUGUUUAUUGCUUCUUACCAGAGUGCCCUCUAUGUCAUUCUAUAUUAAUGCUAAAGAGGAAAUUACAGUCUCACACAGCGAUUGAAGGCACUGCUCUGGAGGACUAUAUCAGGAAGGAGUGCAUGGCAAACAGUGGGGUACUUUGGGGAUAUUCCCAGGAAAACACCUAUUUGUCACUCAUUUUUGCAAGUAUUCAGUGUUUGCUUCCUUGCAAGAUGCUGGACCGAGGGCCUCAAUUUCCAGUCAACUGUUUGCCAGAAGCUGUCCUCAAUUUCUUGCACGUGGCCCUUUUCACGGACACCUUACUACAUGUCAGGUUGCGUUUUCAAAGCCAGCAGAGGACACUUUUCACACAAGAUAAGAUUACAAUCUUAUGUAAUGUAAGUAUUCAUGUAAUCACAUGCAUCCAGCACUUUUGCCCUAUUCUUUUGGUUAGAAUCAAGUCACAGUUCCCCACAUUCGAAAGGAAGUAGCUGCAUAAAGGCUUAACUGCUGAGAGCAGGGGAUCAUAAGGACACCUCACAUUCUGUCUGCAACAGUCCACAUUCUGACCCCCAGGGAGUCAUCUUCCCUUAUACAGAAUAUGCUCACCACCUCUAGAGGUCCCCAUUACAGCAUCUACACAAAUUCAGAGAUCUCAUUACCUAAAUCAAGUCCAGGGGCGGAUGAAAGCUCUCUGAGUUAUCUACCAAUCUAUACAAUAAAGAAUUGAUCUGCCCCUCACACCCAACAUACAGUGAUUAAACAGGCGUCUGUUGGGCAGGCUGGUCCAAAAUGGCCAUAGUUGGGUUCCCUCACUGAGGCUUCUCGUGGGCUGUUUUCAGUAUGUAGCCAAGGUCAUAAACACACUUAUUCAGCCUAAGGACUCAAGGACAUAAACAUUUGCUUGUGAGCAUGUGCCCACUUACAUAACCUAUUGGUAAUGUUCCUUCUUUGUCUGGCCUGCAUAUAAAAAAGGCCUACAGAAAUGGUUCAGGGUGUUAAA